Non-coding RNA from Camellia sinensis, 173 nucleotides. The record is from RefSeq and is a predicted model, not a curated record. NCBI's taxonomy places the organism in Eukaryota, Viridiplantae, Streptophyta, Magnoliopsida, Ericales, Theaceae.
UAUCUCUCUGGUCUCCAGCCCUGUUCUUCUUCUUCUUCUGCUCUCCAGAUCAAGUUCGUGAUCUUGAGACCCGAUUGGGACCCAACAAAUUCCAGAAGCAAUUUCGCUCGCUGGGUCGACUUCGCGAUCGCAAGUAAACAACUCGAUACGCUACGGUACAGAAGAGUUUGAUC